GCCCUCGUAGUUCAAUGGAUAGAACACCAGCCUUCUAAGCUGGUUAUGUAGGUUCGAUUCCUACCGAGGGUACCA
Molecule: transfer RNA, 75 nt
Filed under: Candidatus Kuenenbacteria bacterium
Lineage: Bacteria; Candidatus Kueneniibacteriota
Description: tRNA-Arg
Rfam family: tRNA
About the family: Transfer RNA (tRNA) molecules are approximately 80 nucleotides in length. Their secondary structure includes four short double-helical elements and three loops (D, anti-codon, and T loops).
Source: RNAcentral